AUGCAGGAAGCUUCUAAGUGCAAGAUUGGGUCGUUGGGACAGCAGCAACAGCAUUGCUCACAUCUGAAAGCCCAAAUGUUGAGAGUAGUUAACACUUCACCACAAUCAGCUCUGACUAGAGAAAGAGAAAAACUAAGUACUUGGUGGCAGCAUCACAAUCCAGGAGCACCCCAGUCGGCACACAAUAGCGAAAGUAGAUCUUGCCCCACUGUUGGCUUUUCUUUGUUAAAAGUACUAUUCUCGGCACUGCAGAUGCAGCAACGAACAAAACAUAAAAAUCUGUAUCCCCAUGGUGUUUACAUACUAAUAACAGAAUUUUCUAAUUAUGGGAAAUAUUCACUGAAUACUUCUAUAUACAGGGCAUUGUUGUCAUUAUAUUAUUUAAAUAUAUUAUCUCAUUGUGUUUUCAAAAUAACUCCAUUGUGUGGAUUCUACUGUCAUCAUCACCAUCAUCGUCAUCAUCACCAUCGUCAUCAUCAUGAAUGACUAAGAUAGAUAGAAAUUUAGAAACACAUCAAG
RNAcentral lists this long non-coding RNA (519 nucleotides) under Callithrix jacchus (white-tufted-ear marmoset). Its description in RNAcentral is "lncRNA (ENSCJAG00000058963.2)". Lineage: Eukaryota; Metazoa; Chordata; Mammalia; Primates; Cebidae. The record is from RNAcentral.